Molecule: long non-coding RNA, 2753 nt
Filed under: Homo sapiens (human)
Lineage: Eukaryota; Metazoa; Chordata; Mammalia; Primates; Hominidae
Description: HSALNT0122243
Source: RNAcentral
UUUUAUGGUGAGGAGCAAGCAAGCAAGAAAGGUUAUUAGCAAGCAGGAAGCACAGAGGAAGGGCCUUCUGGAUCUCAAACCUGGUUGCUGGCUACCAGAGGAAGGGAAGGGAGCAGUUUCGCCAUUGCCAACCACAGAGCAGCCGACCGGUGCAUCACCGAGGCCGGCUCCGUCAGCUCGGUCAGCUCGGGUGGGCUUAUUUCUUUGAGUGGAGGCACCACUCAGUUCUCAGUUCAGAGGAAAAAGAAUGAGUGGACAAUGUUGCUGUUGUUGUCUGCACAGAAUGCUAGGGGAGUGAAAGGUGUUUAAAUAGAGGAAGGGAAAGUUCAGAACAGCUGCCAGGCCAGAGCAGAUGCUGGGAGGGCGGGAAGCGGUGAGAAGGCUGGGGUACAGGAUUGCUCCCGAGACCCGCCCAGGCACUGGAUGCACCUGCAGCCUGAGAGCAGCAGGGGGCGGGGUGCCGGGAGGAGAGGGAUUUCAGAUCCCCUGUGCCCUGUGGACGUCAGAAAGCAGGACUUUCUCUUCUGAAACCUGGGCUAGUUCUCAGGUGCAACAGGCCCUGGGUGUGAUGCUCUGACCAGGCGCCCCGGGUGUAAGUACUCAGGCUUCUCGUGCUUCCUCUUCAUACUACACCUUUUGGAACCCAAGAACCUCGCGGCUGCUCCUUCUGGCAAUGGAAAUGUCAGAAAGCAAAGGAAAUUUAAGCUCCACUCAGAGAAAAGAGAAGAUACCAAAAAGUCUAGGGCAACAGACUGUGGUAAGAUGAAUGUGUCAUAUAUGCUGAUGGGGCUGAAAGAAUGAUCUGGAAAGCCAGGGCAUGGUAAUCAGAGAGUGGGGUCCAUGAUGAGACCCUGUCAGGGCAGGGCUGGAGUUACUGCUCAUGGAAGUCUGGGAGUGGAAGGCCGAGGUGGGUGCAGGACAAGGUCCUGGGAGAAAAGAAGGUCAAGAAGAAAAGGAGGUCGGAUAGGACAGACUUGUAGACAAGAAUUAAGGUAGCCAGAGUUUUGGAGAAAAUGGCAGAGGCACUGGAGCUAGACUCACCCAGGAAAGAAGGGGAGAGGCCCUGUGGGAGGGCAGAGCAGCAGCAACGAGCAGUAAUGGGUGAGGGACUCCACUAACAGACGAACGGUUCAGCCAGGAGCAAUUGUCAGCGAGAAACAGGAGCGCACCUGCGUCCUCUGCAGGUCGAGGGGGUGCAGGAGCCGGGGCAAAACAAAUUACAGUGGAGAGGCAGCAGCACCCUCUGGGGGGACCGAUCCCCUUCAGAGUAGGAGUCAGCAAACUGCUGCUCAGGGGCCACAUCCAGCUACCCGUUUUUGUAAACAAAGAUUUAUUAGAGCAUGGUUGCCCCCAUUCAUUGGCAGUGGGUUUUGCUAUUUAUGGGAUCAAAGUUUUCUUAGUAUGCUCUGAGAGGGUUACUGCAAUAAAUAAGAUGACUAUAUUUUUUUUAGCAGAAAGGUCAUAUGAUUGUGAGAGGUGAAGCCGGCUGGGAUUCUGGGUCAGGUGGUGACUUGGAGAACUUUUCUGUCUAGCUAAAGGAUUGUAAACACACCAAUCAGCACUCUGUGUCUAGCUAAAGGAUUGUAAAUGCACCAAUCAGCACUUGUAAAAAUGCGCCAAUCAGCACUCUGUGUCUAGCUAAAGGUUUGUAAAUGCGCUAAUCAGCACUCUGUAAAAACAGACCAAUCAGCACUCUGUAAAACAGACCAAUCAGCGCUCUGUAAAAUGGACCAAUCAGCAGGAUGUGGGUGGGGCCAAAUAAGGGAAUAAAAGCUGGCCACCCGGGCCAGCAGCAGCAACCUGCUCAGGUCCCCUUCCAUGGUGUGGAAGCUUUGUUCUUUCGCUGUUCACAAUGAAUCUUGCUGCUGCUCACUCUUUGGGUCCGCACUAGCUUUAUGAGCUGUAACGCUCACUGCGAAGGUCUGUGGCUUCACUCCUGAAGUCAGCAAGACCACGAACCCACCGGAAGGAGGAAACAACUCCGGAAGCACCACGUUUAAGAGCUGUAACACUCACUGCGAAAGUCUGCAGCUUCACUCCUGAAGUCAGCAAGACCACAAACCCACCGGAAGGAAGAAAUUCCAGACACAUCUAAACAUUGGAAGGAACAAACUCCAGACACACUAUCUUUAAGAACUGUAACACUCACCGCGAGGGUCUGUGGCUUCAUGCUUGAAGUCAGCCGGACCAAGAACCCACCGGAAAGAACCAAUUCCUGACACAAUCGUAUGUAAAAUUUUACUUCCUGAUGUGGGAGUUCAUGAAAAUGAAUUUAAACCUAAUUUUAAUUAUGCUUAUAUUCUUACCCCCUCCUGUUGCCAUUCCGUCCUAUACAUGACCCCAAACCAACAAACACUUGAAUUGUUUAUUUUUAAUUACACCACGAGGCUACAUUUUUAUUGUUUUACAAGGCAUAGGUAAAAAGCAAGGAGUUGAAGGCAAGUGGACUGGGGCAGGGAGGUGGAACUGGAGCGCACUGCGGUCAGAACCCUGGGUUGGAUGGAGGUUUGGUUUCUGUCUCUGCCAGAAGCCGUCUCUCUUAACCGUGGACAGAUCUUGUUCCUGAAUGGACGCUUUCAGUAUUUCUUUCUGAAGUCUGAUAUUUGCUAUAGAUUUUAUUUUUUUCUGUGGCUGUAGAUACCCUUUAUCUGGUUAAUAAAAUUAUUAUCUAUUACUUAAUGGAGCGACCCACAUGGUGAGAAACUGAGGCCUCUUGGCAACAGCUAUGUCACUAAACCAACUUGGAAGUGGGU